This 552-nucleotide ribosomal RNA is filed under the name uncultured bacterium. RNAcentral's name for it is "partial 16S ribosomal RNA". It matches the Rfam family "Bacterial small subunit ribosomal RNA", at positions 358 to 900 of the family's 1533-position model. The record is from RNAcentral.
GGAAUCUUCCACAAUGGACGAAAGUCUGAUGGAGCAACGCCGCGUGAGUGAUGAAGGGUUUCGGCUCGUAAAACUCUGUUGUUGGAGAAGAACGGGUGUCAGAGUAACUGUUGACAUCGUGACGGUAUCCAACCAGAAAGCCACGGCUAACUACGUGCCAGCAGCCGCGGUAAUACGUAGGUGGCAAGCGUUGUCCGGAUUUAUUGGGCGUAAAGCGAGCGCAGGCGGUUUUUUAGGUCUGAUGUGAAAGCCUUCGGCUUAACCGGAGAAGUGCAUCGGAAACCGGGAGACUUGAGUGCAGAAGAGGACAGUGGAACUCCAUGUGUAGCGGUGAAAUGCGUAGAUAUAUGGAAGAACACCAGUGGCGAAGGCGGCUGUCUGGUCUGCAACUGACGCUGAGGCUCGAAAGCAUGGGUAGCGAACAGGAUUAGAUACCCUGGUAGUCCAUGCCGUAAACGAUGAGUGCUAAGUGUUGGAGGGUUUCCGCCCUUCAGUGCUGCAGCUAACGCAUUAAGCACUCCGCCUGGGGGAGUACGACCGCAAGGUUGAAAC